UGAGCUCUGUGCCCGAUGUGGGGCUCGAACUCAGGACCUGGAGAUGAUCAGGAGUCGCAUGUUCUACCAAAUGAGCCAGCUUGGCACCCCUAAUUUAUAUCUUAUUUGGUCCUCUUAACACCUUAUGAGAUGGCUCUUAUUUUAGUUUUCAUGGGCUUAGGGAGAGUUAAAGCUACUGGCUUAAGGGCAAGCAAUAGUGCCAGGAUUAAAAAAUAAUAAUCGUGAAUAUAUUCUUCACCCCCAAAAGUUGUCUUGUACCUUCUCUCCCCUUCCCAGGUGCUGGACUGCGGUCAGUACAGUUUGGUUUGCUUUUAGUUUACAUGAGUGGAAUGUUAAUGUGAUUUUGUAAGAAUCACAUCUUUUGGCAGCAAAUAUUAACUGAGCACCUCCUUUGCGCCGGGAGCCUUUGCUCACACAGCACAGGCCGGGCUAGCCUGUGGCCCAGGGACAGCCCGAGUCGUAGAUGGGAGAGCCACCACUGUGGUGUCAGCCGAUUGCUGCGGUUAGAGAGACGCCAGGGUUCCCUGUUAGCAGUGGGAGGUGUGUCUAUCCAGACUCAAAGACAUUCUUACAGCCUGGACACCUAGGCACAUCACCCGCAGCCCUGGUCUGAGGCCCCCACCUCCACUCCACAGAGCGGAUCUCCCACCGCCCGGCACUGUUUUUGGCACAGUCCAGACCCCAUGAUGAUUCGAACUUCACAAAGGACCAGGAGGGUAAAGACACAGAGUCCCUGAGGAGCAUGCUGCUGGGCUGGAGAGACAGGAGUCUAGACGGUGCUGACCCUAGGGUGAAUCUGAGUUGGGGGGGGGGGGACCCGCAACCGGAAGCAGCUAACUCUGUGAGGGUUUAAGAAUAAAAUGCAAGAAAAACAAGAAGAAACGGCUCAUUAAUCACCUAAAAUAAGUGUAGUCUUAGGUUUCUUUGCAGGGAAGAGGAUGUCUGGCGUGAGUUUUUAAAGCUAAAUGGGAGUUUCUCAGGCUGUUGGGUGGCAGUGGGGACAGGAAAAGGGAGCAGGUGCAAAGACCUGGAGGGCUGAAAGAAUGUGGCCCGUUCUGGAAACAGUGAGUUCCAUGUGUUUGUUAGUUACAGCGACAGAAAGGCAGUAGCCACUUCAACAACAUAGAAGCUUCUCUCCCCACCCUCCCCGCCUUCCUUCUCAUGGGAAAGUCCAGAGGGAGGCAGUCACCGCUAACUUGGUGGCUCAGCUCCAUGAAUUCCUCAGGGACCCAGGCUCUUUCCAGCUCACCACACAUCCCUGGAAUGCAGGUUUUGACCUCUUGGCCCAAGAUGGCAGUUAGAGUCCCGGCCAUCACACCCACAUUCCAGGCAGUGGCAUGGAGGAAGAGGUGAAGAAAAAAGGGGGGGAAUAUACAUGCCAGUGUGCCGAAGCAAGGCUUUCAGAAGCUGACAGGUGACACUGUUUAUAACCUGUUGGCCAGAACGUGGUUUGUAACCACCCUAGUCACAAGGACAGCCAAGAGAUUAUUCUGGGUGGCUGCAUACCCAGCUAAAACUCAGGGGUUCAAAUGCCAAGGAAGAAGGGGAAGGAGGUAUCAAGGGACAACCAGAGGUCUCUCUCUCUCCUUUGGCAUGGCUGGAUCCAGCUGUGGGGUCGGGGGACUAGAGAGGCGGGGAAGGUGGACCCCUGCCCCACGGGCGAGGGGCUGGCCCCAAGUGUUAAGCAAGAGAGCGAACCGCUCAGACCUAUUCUGGGGGGCAGUGACGUCAGCAGUGUGAGGGCUGUGUUAGUGUGGGGACGGGCAGGGGGUAUCCUGUGUGUCUGCUCAGAUGACUGAUGAGGCUCCCUUCUAGUGGCUCUUAGCCUUUCAUAGAGGGAAACAAACCCCAUCUUUCUCAGAACCACCCCUUCCACACUCCUCCUCCCUCCCAGAGAGGGUGGCCUGGAUGCAGAGGGAGCGAGGGAUGAAGGGGCCAGCCUUCUGCUGGCCUGGGGCCCGUGCUGGCACCUGCUGGGGUCUGCCGGCCUCCAGGAUCCGGGCCUGGCUUGCACCCCCUCCCACCCUUGGCUGAGGUGGCACCGUGGCCACCACAGAUGUCUCUGUGGCUGACGGCUGGCUUUUAACCCUGGGACUCGUCCUGCAGGACCCACUCGGAGGGGCCUUGGAGAGCUCUGUGUCCAGGCUACCCCUGGCCAUCGUGCUGGCCAUCGUGUCCACUCUGAUGUGGCUCAGUCCAAGGGGUUUCCUCCACAGUCCCAAUGGCAAGAGAACGCCACCCCUGGUUCCCCUCUCCACUUAUCCAGAAGCCCAGGUGGGGACAUGCAAUGUCGUCACUUGCUUUCCCACGAAUCCCAGGUGCAGGAUUCCGCCCCGCCCUCCUUCUUCUUGUCUGGAUUGUUUUUCUCAUCACAAACACUAUGGCCCAGUGUCGUUCUCCAAGCCUGGACCUUGGUCAGUUACAGCGGAAGGUGCUGGCAUUAAGUUCAUUCCUUUUCAAGAUGGCACAGUUAUGUGGUUGGAUGCUAGACAUCCUCCCCGUCUCCUCUUCCUCUUUGCAUGGCCUUUCCCAGGACGUAGCUCAGAACUGCAGAAGAGCAGAGCAUAUGAAUAACGAAGCAGUUCCCUCCACCUCCCA
This is a long non-coding RNA of Leopardus geoffroyi (Geoffroy's cat), 2598 nucleotides long. RefSeq lists it as uncharacterized. Lineage: Eukaryota; Metazoa; Chordata; Mammalia; Carnivora; Felidae. The record is from RefSeq and is a predicted model, not a curated record. The transcript is spliced from 4 exons.